UGCAAAUGAUGUUUUUUCUCACGAUGGUCUUCCAAGUCCUUUGGACUCUGACGACAUUGCCUUUAUGGCAGAACUGAAGCUUCCGG
Molecule: small nucleolar RNA, 86 nt
Organism: Tachysurus fulvidraco (yellow catfish)
Lineage: Eukaryota; Metazoa; Chordata; Actinopteri; Siluriformes; Bagridae
Product: small nucleolar RNA SNORD35
Exons: 1
Source: RefSeq, a predicted model, not a curated record